GACGUACGCUGGCGGCGUGCUUAACACAUGCAAGUCGUACGGUAAGGCCCUUUCGGGGGUACACGAGUGGCGAACGGGUGAGUAACACGUGAGUAACCUGCCCACAACUUUGGGAUAACGCUAGGAAACUGGUGCUAAUACUGGAUAUGUGCUCCUGCUGCAUGGUGGGGGUUGGAAAGCUCCGGCGGUUGUGGAUGGACUCGCGGCCUAUCAGCUUGUUGGUGGGGUAGUGGCCUACCAAGGCGGCGACGGGUAGCCGGCCUGAGAGGGUGACCGGCCACAUUGGGACUGAGAUACGGCCCAGACUCCUACGGGAGGCAGCAGUGGGGAAUAUUGCACAAUGGGCGCAAGCCUGAUGCAGCAACGCCGCGUGCGGGAUGACGGCCUUCGGGUUGUAAACCGCUUUCAGCAGGGACGAAGCUUUUUGUGACGGUACCUGUAGAAGAAGCACCGGCUAACUACGUG
This 465-nucleotide ribosomal RNA is filed under the name uncultured bacterium. RNAcentral describes it as "partial 16S ribosomal RNA". It matches the Rfam family "Bacterial small subunit ribosomal RNA", at positions 28 to 507 of the family's 1533-position model. The record is from RNAcentral.